Molecule: ribosomal RNA, 266 nt
Filed under: Staphylococcus warneri
Lineage: Bacteria; Bacillati; Bacillota; Bacilli; Caryophanales; Staphylococcaceae
Description: partial 16S ribosomal RNA
Rfam family: Bacterial small subunit ribosomal RNA
Source: RNAcentral
AACUCUGUUAUCAGGGAAGAACAAAUGUGUAAGUAACUGUGCACAUCUUGACGGUACCUGAUCAGAAAGCCACGGCUAACUACGUGCCAGCAGCCGCGGUAAUACGUAGGUGGCAAGCGUUAUCCGGAAUUAUUGGGCGUAAAGCGCGCGUAGGCGGUUUUUUAAGUCUGAUGUGAAAGCCCACGGCUCAACCGUGGAGGGUCAUUGGAAACUGGAAAACUUGAGUGCAGAAGAGGAAAGUGGAAGUGGAAUUCCAUGUGUAGUGG